This is a long non-coding RNA of Gallus gallus (chicken), 540 nucleotides long. Lineage: Eukaryota; Metazoa; Chordata; Aves; Galliformes; Phasianidae. The record is from Ensembl.
GUCACACCCCGUCUCUCCUCGAAGCUUUUCUGCUGAUCCGUACGUUCGGUGCUAAAUUUAAUGUGCUAAACCCCUGCCGUGCGUGCAGGAAUUGUGUCAGCAGAAGAGGCCCCUCCUCCCCGGCGGUGCUGCCCUCAGCGUGUCUCCGUGCUCUCGGACAUUAACAAAUACCAGAUGGUAAACAGCUCAGCGCUGCCUUUAUCUGUAGGCCCACAGAGGUGAUACAGUGCAGGGAAUGCUUCAGCGGCUCUGAAACGAGGCCAGCAUCGGGCUGGAGGGCAGCAGCUGCUUUCUGCUGCGUGUUGUCACUGUGUGUGCUGCAGUCCUCUGCUUCUGACCAGAAAGGAGGGCAGCAGAGGUUUGGCUGAGUCAGAGGAGGUUCAUGGAGCGCUGUCUGCUGCCCAUCCUCAUGUGCGUGGCAGUGUCCUCCAGGUGUCGGCCCGGCUGCUGGGGGAGGACCCGGCCAUUGAGUCUCCCACACUGCAGUUUACCACAGGUUGGCGAAGCGGGACGAAGGAAGAGACCCCCGCGGUCCCCGGG